UACGAAGGGUCCAAGCGUUGUUCGGAAUCAUUGGGCGUAAAGCGCGCGCAGGCGGAUUUGCAAGUCAGAUGUGAAAUCUCGAAGCUCAACUUCGAAACUGCGUCUGAAACUGCUAGUCUAGAAUGUCGGAGGGGGGCAGGGGAAUUUCACGUGUAGGGGUAAAAUCCGUAGAGAUGUGAAGGAACACCGGAGGCGAAGGCGCCUGCCUGGACGACUAUUGACGCUGAGGCGCGAAAGCGUGGGGAGCAAACAGG
This 254-nucleotide ribosomal RNA is filed under the name uncultured bacterium. RNAcentral's name for it is "partial 16S ribosomal RNA". It matches the Rfam family "Bacterial small subunit ribosomal RNA", at positions 524 to 776 of the family's 1533-position model. The record is from RNAcentral.